Molecule: small RNA, 576 nt
Filed under: Aspergillus parasiticus
Lineage: Eukaryota; Fungi; Ascomycota; Eurotiomycetes; Eurotiales; Aspergillaceae
Description: eukaryotic LSU rRNA
Rfam family: 5.8S ribosomal RNA (bases 204-357)
Source: RNAcentral
GAACCUGCGGAAGGAUCAUUACCGAGUGUAGGGUUCCUAGCGAGCCCAACCUCCCACCCGUGUUUACUGUACCUUAGUUGCUUCGGCGGGCCCGCCAUUCAUGGCCGCCGGGGGCUCUCAGCCCCGGGCCCGCGCCCGCCGGAGACACCACGAACUCUGUCUGAUCUAGUGAAGUCUGAGUUGAUUGUAUCGCAAUCAGUUAAAACUUUCAACAAUGGAUCUCUUGGUUCCGGCAUCGAUGAAGAACGCAGCGAAAUGCGAUAACUAGUGUGAAUUGCAGAAUUCCGUGAAUCAUCGAGUCUUUGAACGCACAUUGCGCCCCCUGGUAUUCCGGGGGGCAUGCCUGUCCGAGCGUCAUUGCUGCCCAUCAAGCACGGCUUGUGUGUUGGGUCGUCGUCCCCUCUCCGGGGGGGACGGGCCCCAAAGGCAGCGGCGGCACCGCGUCCGAUCCUCGAGCGUAUGGGGCUUUGUCACCCGCUCUGUAGGCCCGGCCGGCGCUUGCCGAACGCAAAUCAAUCUUUUCCAGGUUGACCUCGGAUCAGGUAGGGAUACCCACUGAACUUAAGCAUAUCAAUG